CAAGCAGCACCCACUGCCACCUCUGGGGAGGAGUGAUAACCAGUCCCCUGGGACCGUGUCUGAGACUGGAGCCAUACUUUGUGCAGACCAGCUUCGGAGUAAGGGGGAGCAGCAGGAGGACAGGUCUGAUCCUAACAGCCGGCUUUGCCUUGGACACAGUCUCCUGCAAUCCAGAAAGCCACCUCAGCCCAGCUGAGAUCUAAAGCCUCUGGAGACCCUGAAUCCCCACUUGCUCUGGCUUCUACAGAACCCAGAAUCCAUCUGCCAAUGCACGGGACACAGAUUCAAUCCCUGGUCUGGGAAGAUCCCACACGCCACAGGACAACUAAGUCCAUGUGCCAUAAAGACUGAGGCUGUAGUCAAGAGCCUGGGAGCCCGCCAUAAAGCCCGUGCUCUGCAACAAGAGAAGCCACCAUGAUGAGAAGCCCAAGCACCGCAAACAGUGAUAGUGAAAAUUGCUCAGUCAUGGCUGACUCUGUGAGAGGCCUCUGUCCAUAGAAUUCUCCAGGCCAGAAUACUGGAGUGGGUAGCUGUUUCCUUCUCCAGGGGAUCUUCCCGACCCAGGAAUCAAACUGGGGUCUCCUGCAUUGCAGGCAGAUUCUUUACCAGCCUAGCUACCAGCCCUUCCUUACUUGCCGCAACUAGAGAAAGCCCAAGCACAGCAAUGAAGACA
This is a long non-coding RNA of Dama dama (fallow deer), 673 nucleotides long. RefSeq lists it as uncharacterized. The record is from RefSeq and is a predicted model, not a curated record. The transcript is spliced from 3 exons. Lineage: Eukaryota; Metazoa; Chordata; Mammalia; Artiodactyla; Cervidae.